RNAcentral lists this long non-coding RNA (517 nucleotides) under Lathyrus oleraceus (garden pea). Its description in RNAcentral is "Pisum sativum (pea) long non-coding RNA (PSAT_LNC003906)". Lineage: Eukaryota; Viridiplantae; Streptophyta; Magnoliopsida; Fabales; Fabaceae. The record is from RNAcentral.
UUGAUCGAGGGUUUAUCGCAUUAGUGAAAAUAGGUUGUGAAAUGGUUUGAAAUGAUAUGAGGUUCUUAUUAAAGCAAAAAGUUUAGUGGAAUUUUGAAAAAUAUACUUGAUGUUGAUCAAAUACCUUUUAUCUUAGUAUUUUUGAAAGGUUAAUUUUAAUGGUCAUUUUGUCUUUUUGGAUUAUUAAUUAUGCAUCAACUAAAAAUACAAUAAAAUAAACUAAAAAAUAAAGCAAUAAAAGGUAAAAGAAAUAAUAAAGGGGAGGGGGAACACUAUCAAUGCAAGAGGUAAAAGAAUUAAAAAAACUAAAGGAAAUAAAAGAAAGAACAAAAAAAAACAAAACAAUAAGAAAAUAAGAAAUAAAAAAAUAUAUACAAAAGAAAAAAAUAGGCUAAAAAUUGGGGGUGUAGCCUACCUCAUACGCUCUAAGUUUUUUUCUGGCAUAUUCUCUCUGAAUUUUCAUAUGUUUUUAAAUUUUUUAUCUGAUACAGUGUAAAUAUAAUCACCACCAGCAUCC